RNAcentral lists this ribosomal RNA (1017 nucleotides) under Providencia vermicola. RNAcentral's name for it is "bacterial SSU rRNA". It matches the Rfam family "Bacterial small subunit ribosomal RNA", at positions 64 to 1067 of the family's 1533-position model. Lineage: Bacteria; Pseudomonadati; Pseudomonadota; Gammaproteobacteria; Enterobacterales; Morganellaceae. The record is from RNAcentral.
GAGCGGUAGCGCGAGAAACUUGGCUCUCGUGGACGAGAGUGGGGCGCGUGAGUGAAGUAUAUCGGUCUGUGCGAGUAGGGGGAGAUCACUUGGAAACGGAGUCUAAUACCGUCAUUCUCUUACGAGCAAAGAGGGGGAAAUUCGGUCAUUGCUCACUAUUGAUAAACCCAGAUGGGAUAAGCUAUAGUUUGGGGUAAUGGCUCAUCCAGGGGACCAUUCCUAUCUGGUUUGAAAGGAUGAUCCGCCUCAACGGGACUGAAACCAGGCCCAAACUUCUACCGGAGGGCGCCGUGGGGAAAUUUGGACAAUGGGCGCAAACCCUGUGCCACCAUGCCGCGGUGAUUAAGAAGGCCCUUCGGUUGUAAAGUACUUUUUGUCGGGAGGAAGGCGUUGUCGCCUAUUUCAUCAUCGUGUGACGGUACCGACAGAAAUAGCACCGGCUAACUCCGUGCCCACAGCCGCGCGUAAUUCGGAGGGUGCAAGCGUUAAUCGGAAUUUCUGGGCGUAAAGCGCACGCAGGCGCGUUGAUUAUAAGAGAUGUGUGAUCCCCGGGGCUCACCUGGGAAUGGCAUCUUUUUCUCUGCCAGCUAGAGUCUUGUAGAGGGGGGGUAGUAAUUCCAUGUGUAGCGGUGAAAUGCGCUAGAGAUGUGGGAGAGAUUUCCGGUGGCGCAAAGCGCGGCCCCCUGGGCAUAGACUGACGCUCUCGGUGCGAUAUGCGCUGUGGGAGCGAAAAGGAUUUGAUUCCCCGGGAUGUCCCCACCCGUAUACCAUGUCCAUUCUGGAUGUUGGUGCCCUUGUAGGACUGGCUUGCGGAGCUACGCGUGAUAUUCGACCGCCUGGGGGAGUACGUCCGCAAGAUAAUACUCAAUGAUUGACGGGGACCCGCACUAUGCGUGGAUGAUGUGGAUUUAUUCGAUGCACGCGAUAUACUACUACCCUGACAUGCCAGAAUUCGCAGAGAUUGCGUCGUGCCUCAGAAUCGGAACAGUGCGCCCAUGCUUGCGCCAGCUCGUCGUA